CCUACGGGAGGCAGCAGUGGGGAAUAUUGCACAAUGGGCGAAAGCCUGAUGCAGCGACGCCGCGUGAGGGAUGACGGCCUUCGGGUUGUAAACCUCUUUCAGCAGGGAAGAAGCGAGGGUGACGGUACCUGCAGAAGAAGCGCCGGCUAACUACGUGCCAGCAGCCGCGGUAAUACGUAGGGCGCAAGCGUUGUCCGGAAUUAUUGGGCGUAAAGAGCUCGUAGGCGGCUCGUUGCGUCGGUUGUGAAAGCCCGGGGCUUAACCCCGGGUCUGCAGUCGAUACGGGCAGGCUAGAGUGUGGUAGGGGAGAUCGGAAUUCCUGGUGUAGCGGUGAAAUGCGCAGAUAUCAGGAGGAACACCGGUGGCGAAGGCGGAUCUCUGGGCCAUUACUGACGCUGAGGAGCGAAAGCGUGGGGAGCGAACAGGAUUAGAUACCCUGGUAGUCCACGCCGUAAACGUUGGGAACUAGGUGUUGGCGACAUUCCACGUCGUCGGUGCCGCAGCUAACGCAUUAAGUUCCCCGCCUCGGGGAGUACGGCCGCAAGGCUAAAACUUAAAGGAAUUGACGA
RNAcentral lists this ribosomal RNA (569 nucleotides) under uncultured bacterium. RNAcentral describes it as "bacterial SSU rRNA". It matches the Rfam family "Bacterial small subunit ribosomal RNA", at positions 338 to 916 of the family's 1533-position model. The record is from RNAcentral.